GUAGCUUAGUUGGUAAAGUGCUUGCCUUGCAAGCAUGAGGACCGAAGUUCAAUUCCUUGC
This 60-nucleotide transfer RNA is filed under the name Neotoma lepida (desert woodrat). It matches the Rfam family "tRNA", at positions 7 to 64 of the family's 71-position model. From Rfam's summary of the family: Transfer RNA (tRNA) molecules are approximately 80 nucleotides in length. Lineage: Eukaryota; Metazoa; Chordata; Mammalia; Rodentia; Cricetidae. The record is from Rfam by way of RNAcentral.